Gavialis gangeticus (Gharial) is the source of this 711-nucleotide long non-coding RNA. RefSeq lists it as uncharacterized. The transcript has 3 exons. Lineage: Eukaryota; Metazoa; Chordata; Crocodylia; Gavialidae. The record is from RefSeq and is a predicted model, not a curated record.
CUUCCUUGGGCUGUGGACAAAUGAACAAAUUGCAAAAGUUAAAUGGGGGCAGGGGCCUACCAUGGAGCAACUGACUCACAAUAAUUGUUUGUGUGCCUGCUCUUACCAGCACAGUGUAGUCCUCAGUAAAAUAGGGAUAAAUUAACACAGUUCAAUUUUCACUUAUUGCAGGGUAGCAGUAGGCCCACAAACAAUUAAUUCACGGGCACAGUGGGGACCUUGUCCAUGAUGAUUAAUAUGGCUUUCCUAGAACAGAUCUGACUGCCUACACUUCAGUCAACCCUGACACUAGGUACUAGACAUUUUGUACUGUUUCCUGGCUCCAAUCUAUAAAAUUCAUAAACAGUUAUAGGAGAAGGGACUGGAACCCAAGUCCUCCACUCCCAGGGACUGUGAUGAUGACACAGGCUGGAGACCAUUGGAACCAUUAUAUAACUUGCUUUGUUCUUUGGACAAAUGUUAUGCAAGUUGAUUAAGGCAAUGAUUUAUGGCUAUGCAAAACAACAAAUUAAGAAACACUGGGAGAGGCUGCCAAACUUUUAGAAUUAUUUGUCAAUAGUCUACAUGUUUAAGCUACAUUAAACUUUUCCUAACAUUUCCAGGACCAAGCAGAAAUACCCUUUUUGUUUGUCUGAGACACUACUUUAUGCAAGCAAGGGACUCGCAAUGACUCCUGAAUUCCACUUCUAGCUCUGUGACUUACUUGCUUAC